UUUUUUUUCUUUAAUCUCUCAGUGGAUAAUUUUCCAUCCUGAUGAUCAGAAGAGAGUUUGAGGGUGUCAGAUCCUUCAGAACAACAACCAGAAAACUAUCACAGCUGAGUCUGGACAGGACGUCACUCUGACAUGUCGAGCUCCAAACAACAACAUCAUAGUUGUAAAGUGGAGCAGAGCUGACCUGGGAGAUGAAUAUGUGCUAUUGAACCGUGACGGUCACUUUGUUACAGAUGACCAGCAUCCAUCUUUUAAGAACCGGGUGGAUCUGCAGGACAGACAGAUGAAGGAUGGAGACGUGUCUUUGAUUCUGAAGGAUGUGACGAUAAAUGACACUGGAACAUACGAGUGUCGUGUUGCCCAAAAGGAACCAAACCAAGAGAGACCCAGAUUGAAUCCCAUCAACAGCACCAACCUUCAUGUUGUUCCUCCAGGUCAGACAGGAGGACCUGUUGGUCUGUUAGUUUCUGCAGCACUUCUUCUUCAUGUUGUUGCUGUUGUUGGUUUCCUGAUCUACAGAAGAUGGAAACUGAAUCCUGCUGAUCCACAUGAAGCAGAGCAUCUUCAGCCUGAUUAACCAAAAAUCCUCACAGCUGAGUCUGGACAGGACGUCACUCUGACAUGUCGAGCUCCAAACAGCGAGUCAGAGAAAAUGAGCCAACAGCUUCAUCGACCUGAUUAUUGAUCCAGAGAGUUAGUUUGAGUUGAUCCAACCUAGACUCAGAUAUUUCUCUCAGUUUGAUCCUGACACUCUGACGCUUCAACAUGAUGAAUGUAACUUCUGUUGUAGGAAGAACAAAAAACAUUAAUUUUGGAGAUAUUGUAAACUUCUACAUUUGUAUGGCUUCUUAGGAGACCUUUGCGCAGUUACGUAACUUCUGUUGUAAUCAUCGCUUGUUUUUGCUGUGUUUUGGUUGUUGUAGAAAUGGUUUACAUGAGCAUUUAGUUUAGAUUCUAAGGUUUCUUUGGAUACCACACAUGUUGGUAUUUGCAUAAAAAGCUUGAAGUCAUGGAUGGUUGCCUCUUGAGCCCCUUAGAGAUUAAGUACGUUUCACAUGUAAACCCCCUGAGGUUUUUCUUUCAGUGUUUUUUGUGAUGUGGAGUUUUUUUUGUUGUUUUUUUUUGUUAUUAAUAGCAGGUUAA
Long non-coding RNA from Oreochromis niloticus (Nile tilapia), 1143 nucleotides. RefSeq lists it as uncharacterized. The record is from RefSeq and is a predicted model, not a curated record. NCBI's taxonomy places the organism in Eukaryota, Metazoa, Chordata, Actinopteri, Cichliformes, Cichlidae. The transcript has 4 exons.